This 492-nucleotide ribosomal RNA is filed under the name uncultured bacterium. RNAcentral describes it as "partial 16S ribosomal RNA". It matches the Rfam family "Bacterial small subunit ribosomal RNA", at positions 29 to 507 of the family's 1533-position model. The record is from RNAcentral.
AGUGAACGCUGGCGGUAGGCCUAACACAUGCAAGUCGAACGGCAGCACAGUAAGAGCUUGCUCUUACGGGUGGCGAGUGGCGGACGGGUGAGGAAUACAUCGGAAUCUACUUUUUCGUGGGGGAUAACGUAGGGAAACUUACGCUAAUACCGCAUACGACCUACGGGUGAGAGCAGGGGAUCUUCGGACCUUGCGCGAUUGAAUGAGCCGAUGCCGGAUUAGCUAGUUGGCGGGGUAAAGGCCCACCAAGGCGACGAUCCGUAGCUGGUCUGAGAGGAUGAUCAGCCACACUGGAACUGAGACACGGUCCAGACUCCAACGGGAGGCAGCAGUGGGGAAUAUUGGACAAUGGGCGCAAGCCUGAUCCAGCCAUACCGCGUGGGUGAAGAAGGCCUUCGGGUUGUAAAGCCCUUUUGCUGGGAAAGAAAAGCAGCAGGUUAAUACCCCGCUGUUCUGACGGUACCCAAAGAAUAAGCACCGGCUAACUUCGUG